GUAGGUGGCAAGCGUUGUCCGGAUUUAUUGGGUUUAAAGGGUGCGUAGGCGGCCUAUUAAGUCAGUGGUGAAAUAUCUCAGCUCAACUGAGAAGGUGCCAUUGAUACUGAUGGGCUUGAGUACAGAUGAGGUAGGCGGAAUUGACGGUGUAGCGGUGAAAUGCUUAGAUAUCGUCAAGAACACCUAUAGCGAAGGCAGCUUACUAGGCUGUAACUGACGCUGAGGCACGAAAGUGUGGGGAUCAAACAGGAUUAGAUACCCUGGUAGUCCACACUGUAAACGUUGAUUACUCGCUGUGUGCGAUAUACAGUACGCGGCCAAGCGAAAGCGCUAAGUAAUCCACCUGGGGAGUACGCCGGCAACGGUG
This 367-nucleotide ribosomal RNA is filed under the name uncultured Bacteroidota bacterium. RNAcentral describes it as "bacterial SSU rRNA". It matches the Rfam family "Bacterial small subunit ribosomal RNA", at positions 527 to 896 of the family's 1533-position model. Lineage: Bacteria; Pseudomonadati; Bacteroidota. The record is from RNAcentral.